RNAcentral lists this ribosomal RNA (1033 nucleotides) under Salmonella enterica. RNAcentral describes it as "partial 23S ribosomal RNA". It matches the Rfam family "Bacterial large subunit ribosomal RNA", at positions 140 to 1211 of the family's 2925-position model. Lineage: Bacteria; Pseudomonadati; Pseudomonadota; Gammaproteobacteria; Enterobacterales; Enterobacteriaceae. RNAcentral also lists the same sequence under 1 other name. The record is from RNAcentral.
UCGUCACACUAUCAUUAACUGAAUCCAUAGGUUAAUGAGGCGAACCGGGGGAACUGAAACAUCUAAGUACCCCGAGGAAAAGAAAUCAACCGAGAUUCCCCCAGUAGCGGCGAGCGAACGGGGAGGAGCCCAGAGCCUGAAUCAGCAUGUGUGUUAGUGGAAGCGUCUGGAAAGGCGCGCGAUACAGGGUGACAGCCCCGUACACAAAAGCGCAUGUGCUGUGAGCUCGAUGAGUAGGGCGGGACACGUGGUAUCCUGUCUGAAUAUGGGGGGACCAUCCUCCAAGGCUAAAUACUCCUGACUGACCGAUAGUGAACCAGUACCGUGAGGGAAAGGCGAAAAGAACCCCGGCGAGGGGAGUGAAAAAGAACCUGAAACCGUGUACGUACAAGCAGUGGGAGCACAGGUUUACCUGUGUGACUGCGUACCUUUUGUAUAAUGGGUCAGCGACUUAUAUUCUGUAGCAAGGUUAACCGAAUAGGGGAGCCGUAGGGAAACCGAGUCUUAACCGGGCGUUAAGUUGCAGGGUAUAGACCCGAAACCCGGUGAUCUAGCCAUGGGCAGGUUGAAGGUUGGGUAACACUAACUGGAGGACCGAACCGACUAAUGUUGAAAAAUUAGCGGAUGACCUGUGGCUGGGGGUGAAAGGCCAAUCAAACCGGGAGAUAGCUGGUUCUCCCCGAAAGCUAUUUAGGUAGCGCCUCGUGAAUUCAUCUCCGGGGGUAGAGCACUGUUUCGGCUAGGGGGCCAUCCCGGCUUACCAACCCGAUGCAAACUGCGAAUACCGGAGAAUGUUAUCACGGGAGACACACGGCGGGUGCUAACGUCCGUCGUGAAGAGGGAAACAACCCAGACCGCCAGCUAAGGUCCCAAAGUCAUGGUUAAGUGGGAAACGAUGUGGGAAGGCCCAGACAGCCAGGAUGUUGGCUUAGAAGCAGCCAUCAUUUAAAGAAAGCGUAAUAGCUCACUGGUCGAGUCGGCCUGCGCGGAAGAUGUAACGGGGCUAAACCAUGCACCGAAGCUGCGGCAGCGA